CUUGAUGGUGGCUGUGCGCAUGGCACCUUCGGGUGCGCCGGGUUUUGGGUGACUUACCGGUCCGCUAACUUGCGCACAGCUGCCACCCUU
RNAcentral lists this non-coding RNA (90 nucleotides) under Pseudomonas moraviensis. Lineage: Bacteria; Pseudomonadati; Pseudomonadota; Gammaproteobacteria; Pseudomonadales; Pseudomonadaceae. RNAcentral also lists the same sequence under 1 other name. The record is from RNAcentral.